This 581-nucleotide ribosomal RNA is filed under the name uncultured bacterium. Its description in RNAcentral is "bacterial SSU rRNA". It matches the Rfam family "Bacterial small subunit ribosomal RNA", at positions 264 to 842 of the family's 1533-position model. The record is from RNAcentral.
CCCACCGUGGCGACGAUGCGUAGGGGUUCUGAGAGGAAGGUCCCCCACACUGGUACUGAGACACGGACCAGACUCCUACGGGAGGCAGCAGUGAGGAAUAUUGGUCAAUGGGAGAGAUCCUGAACCAGCCAAGCCGCGUGAGGGAAGACGGCCCUAUGGGUUGUAAACCUCUUUUGUCGGAGAACAAAACCCGGGACGUGUCCCGGACUGCGUGUAUCCGAAGAAAAAGCAUCGGCUAACUCCGUGCCAGCAGCCGCGGUAAUACGGAGGAUGCGAGCGUUAUCCGGAUUUAUUGGGUUUAAAGGGUGCGUAGGCGGUCCGUUAAGUCAGCGGUAAAAUUGCGGGGCUCAACCCCGUCGAGCCGUUGAAACUGGCAGACUUGAGUUGGCGAGAAGUACGCGGAAUGCGCGGUGUAGCGGUGAAAUGCAUAGAUAUCGCGCAGAACUCCGAUUGCGAAGGCAGCGUACCGGCGCCAGACUGACGCUGAGGCACGAAAGCGUGGGGAUCGAACAGGAUUAGAUACCCUGGUAGUCCACGCAGUAAACGAUGAAUGCUGGUUGUCCGGGUCGAAUGAGACCUGG